RNAcentral lists this ribosomal RNA (478 nucleotides) under uncultured bacterium. RNAcentral describes it as "bacterial SSU rRNA". It matches the Rfam family "Bacterial small subunit ribosomal RNA", at positions 39 to 511 of the family's 1533-position model. The record is from RNAcentral.
AGCGACAGGCUUAACACAUGCAAGUCGAGGGGCAUCAGGGCUUUCGGGCCGCUGGCGACCGGCGCACGGGUGAGUAACACGUAUGCAACCUACCUAUAACCCGGGGACAGCCCGGAGAAAUCCGGAUUAAUACCCGAUAACACAGGGAUGCCGCAUGGCAAUAUUUGUUAAAGAUUCAUUGGUUAUAGAUGGGCAUGCGUUCCAUUAGGUAGUUGGUAGAGGUAACGGCUCACCAAGCCUGCGAUGGAUAGGGGAACUGAGAGGUUUAUCCCCCACACUGGUACUGAGACACGGACCAGACUCCUACGGGAGGCAGCAGUGAGGAAUAUUGGUCAAUGGGCGCAAGCCUGAACCAGCCAAAUCGCGUGAAGGACGACGGUAUUAUGUAUUGUAAACUUCUUUUUUAAGGGAAUAAAGUGGGGGACGUGUCCCCUUUUGUAUGUACCUUACGAAUAAGCAUCGGCUAACUCCGUGCCAG